Molecule: long non-coding RNA, 578 nt
Organism: Pseudophryne corroboree (corroboree frog)
Lineage: Eukaryota; Metazoa; Chordata; Amphibia; Anura; Myobatrachidae
Exons: 3
Source: RefSeq, a predicted model, not a curated record
AUUGCAGCUCAAUGAAAAGACAUCUUGUUGGAAAUGCUGACUCAUUCUUGUUUCGUAUUAUCUAUCUUACCUCUCUGAACACAAUGCUACAGGACAAGAAGGAAUUUGGAGCCAGCUGAUCAGGCGGUGGCCAAGAUGAGGCGGUGUACGGCAAGUGACUUUAAUUCUGUGCACAGGGCAUGCCUCUACCUGGAUCUAAGUCAGGAUUCGGAGUUCACCAACUAAGUCUACACAUACAUCAGGAAAGUUUUUUCUCUCUCUUAUUUUCUGGUCCAUUAAUAGACUGUGCCAUAACUGUUAUAAAGAUGUGUCAACACUUAUCCAUCCCACAAAUGGGUUGUGGGUGACAAUUUGCCGUCAUUGUGAGUAUUCGUGCCUGUUCAUGGCAAAUUCACAAGAGCGUCUGCACUAUGCAAUCCUAGGUAUCGCAGUCCAUGAAGUCCAGAAGUGGACGAAACGCGUUGAGGGUUAUCCUGCUGGCUCUCCUGUUGGUUGGCUACAUCUGGGAUUGCUAUCUCCUUGCUGUUGUUCAGAUUAGCUUCACUUCCUGAACCCAAUGUAUGUUUACUGUGUGUGUA